GAUGAACGCUGGCGGCGUGCUUAACACAUGCAAGUCGAACGAUGAAGCUCAGCUUGCUGGGUGGUUUAGUGGCGAACGGGUGAGUAACACGUGAGUAACCUGCCCUUAACUCUGGGAUAAGCCUGGGAAACUAGGUCUAAUACCGGAUAGGAGCGCCUACCGCAUGGUGGGUGUUGGAAAGCUUUAUCGGUUUUGGAUGGACUCGCGGCCUAUCAGCUUGUUGGUGAGGUAAUGGCUCACCACGGCGACGACGGGUAGCCGGCCUGAGAGGGUGACCGGCCACACUGGGACUGAGACACGGCCCAGACUCCUACGGGAGGAAGCAGUGGGGAAUAUUGCACAAUGGACGAAAGCCUGAUGCAGCGACGCCGCGUGAGGGAUGACGGCCUUCGGGGUGUAAACCUCUUUCAGUAGGGAAGAAGCGAAAGUGACGGUACCUGCAGAAGAAGCACCGGCUAACUACGUG
Molecule: ribosomal RNA, 466 nt
Filed under: uncultured bacterium
Lineage: Bacteria
Description: partial 16S ribosomal RNA
Rfam family: Bacterial small subunit ribosomal RNA
Source: RNAcentral